AACUAAGGAUUUAAGUUAAAUAAACUAAGAACCUUCAAAGUUCUAAAUAAAGAUAUUCUUU
This 61-nucleotide transfer RNA is filed under the name Attagenus unicolor japonicus. Its description in RNAcentral is "tRNA-Trp". The record is from RNAcentral. Lineage: Eukaryota; Metazoa; Arthropoda; Insecta; Coleoptera; Dermestidae.